UUGAUAUCAACCCAAUUAAUUUACCAGGUCUACCACGUGUUCUAAAUUGGUUAGACAUUAUACCCAUUUGAAUUGCCUUCACUCCUGAGUCUCUGAGUGUCAGGUUCAAGCUGCUGACCGACGAGGUUCCUUAUGCUUGCGAACCAGUUAGAUUCUAUACACAUAUGAAUCUUCCCCAUAUUCGAAUAUCUGAAUGUCAGACUCAAGCUGAUGAUAUAUGAGGUAUGGUCCUCGCUGUAUCAAUCAAGUCCCAUUGAAAUAUUGAAACGUUGUUCAUACAUCUUUGAAUGACCUUUUAUGUGCUGACAAUAUGUUCUGA
Pseudophryne corroboree (corroboree frog) is the source of this 319-nucleotide long non-coding RNA. RefSeq lists it as uncharacterized. The record is from RefSeq and is a predicted model, not a curated record. The transcript has 3 exons. NCBI's taxonomy places the organism in Eukaryota, Metazoa, Chordata, Amphibia, Anura, Myobatrachidae.